GUUCUUCUAGUUCCAACUAGAACACAUGACUUCCACUCAUGCAGUCUUGGUUAAACCCCAAGGAGGAACU
RNAcentral lists this transfer RNA (70 nucleotides) under Trichonotus elegans (long-rayed sand-diver). RNAcentral describes it as "tRNA-Gly". It matches the Rfam family "tRNA". Rfam says of the family: Transfer RNA (tRNA) molecules are approximately 80 nucleotides in length. Their secondary structure includes four short double-helical elements and three loops (D, anti-codon, and T loops). Further hydrogen bonds mediate the characteristic L-shaped molecular structure. tRNAs have two regions of fundamental functional importance: the anti-codon, which is responsible for specific mRNA codon recognition, and the 3' end, to which the tRNAs corresponding amino acid is attached (by aminoacyl-tRNA synthetases). tRNAs cope with the degeneracy of the genetic code in two manners: having more than one tRNA (with a specific anti-codon) for a particular amino acid; and 'wobble' base-pairing, i.e. permitting non-standard base-pairing at the 3rd anti-codon position. RNAcentral also lists the same sequence under 1 other name. The record is from RNAcentral. Lineage: Eukaryota; Metazoa; Chordata; Actinopteri; Gobiiformes; Trichonotidae.